Long non-coding RNA from Astatotilapia calliptera (eastern happy), 560 nucleotides. The record is from Ensembl. NCBI's taxonomy places the organism in Eukaryota, Metazoa, Chordata, Actinopteri, Cichliformes, Cichlidae.
AGCUGUUGGAGAAUAAAACCAGCGCGGACGCGCCCUUCGGUUGGGGGGAGAGAGGAAAGGGGGAUCGCUGUGAUGUGUUUAAAGACGGUUCUCGUGAGUUUGUGAUCCUCCAGCAGCACUCCUGACAUCACUAUUCCGACAUUAGCAACGUUCACGGACAGGCUGAUCCCUCGGCUGGGAAAUUCUGCACUAAGAAUGGCGUGUGAUUUAUGAAAAGCAAACUCAUCUGCAGCCGGAAUCAGUGGCUUCAAUGCUUCUCUUUGUUUUUAGUGUCAAAACUGGAGCAGCAGCAACUGACGCUGGCAUGCAGGAGAUUUUACUGUUUGCUUGACAAGUAGCUGAUCAAGGUGUGCUGUUCUGCAUAAAGACGUGUGCUACAAAAUAAUUGCUUUUGUCUUUUAUUUACUUGCAUUUUUUCAUAAUUUGACAGCUUAAUGCAUUAAUUCUUCUAAUUAUCUUUAAACCUGUUACACAAAACCUUUUGCAUAUCUCUUACAUAAGACGUAAAUAAGUUUGUAAGUUGAGAGGACACCCUGUAGCAAAAACAAAACUUUGGGCAA